GAUCCUGGCUCAGAAUCAACGCUGGCGGCGCGCCUAACACAUGCAAGUCGAGCGAGAAAGGGGCAACCUGAGUAAAGCGGCGUACGGGUGAGUAACACGUGGAUCAUCUACCCUUUUGUGGGGAAUAACUUUGGGAAACCGAAGCUAAUACCGCAUAAGUCCGAGAGGAGAAAGCAGCAAUGCGCAGGAGGAGGAGUCCGCGGCCGAUUAGCUAGUUGGUGGGGUAAUGGCCCACCAAGGCAACGAUCGGUAGCCGGCCUGAGAGGGCACACGGCCACACUGGCACUGAGACACGGGCCAGACUCCUACGGGAGGCAGCAGUGGGGAAUCUUGCACAAUGGGGGAAACCCUGAUGCAGCGACGCCGCGUGAGCGAUGAAGCCCUUCGGGGUGUAAAGCUCUUUCGACGGGAACGAUAAUGACGGUACCCGGAGAAGAAGCUGCGGCUAACUACGUGCCAGCAGCCGCGGUAAUACGUAGGCAGCAAGCGUUGUUCGGAGUUACUGGGCGUAAAGAGUACGUAGGCGGUUUGCUAAGUCUGGUGUGAAAUCUCCUGGCUUAACUGGGAGGGUGCGCUAGAUACUGGCAGGCUUGAGUAUGGGAGAGGAGAGUGGAAUUCCUGGUGUAGCGGUGAAAUGCGUAGAUAUCAGGAGGAACGCCGGUGGUGUAGACGGCUCUCUGGACCAUUACUGACGCUGAGGUACGAAAGCGUGGGUAGCAAACAGGAUUAGAUACCCUGGUAGUCC
This 745-nucleotide ribosomal RNA is filed under the name uncultured bacterium. Its description in RNAcentral is "bacterial SSU rRNA". It matches the Rfam family "Bacterial small subunit ribosomal RNA", at positions 15 to 796 of the family's 1533-position model. The record is from RNAcentral.